AUGAUUGUAGUUUGUGUUUUCAGAGAUGGU
Molecule: non-coding RNA, 30 nt
Filed under: Homo sapiens (human)
Lineage: Eukaryota; Metazoa; Chordata; Mammalia; Primates; Hominidae
Source: RNAcentral